GAUGAACGCUGGCGGCGUGCCUAAUACAUGCAAGUCGAGCGAACAGAUAAGGAGCUUGCUCCUUUGACGUUAGCGGCGGACGGGUGAGUAACACGUGGGUAACCUACCUAUAAGACUGGAAUAACUCCGGGAAACCGGGGCUAAUGCCGGAUAACAUUUAGAACCGCAUGGUUCUAAAGUGAAAGAUGGUUUUGCUAUCACUUAUAGAUGGACCCGCGCCGUAUUAGCUAGUUGGUAAGGUAACGGCUUACCAAGGCAACGAUGCGUAGCCGACCUGAGAGGGUGAUCGGCCACACUGGAACUGAGACACGGUCCAGACUCCUACGGGAGGCAGCAGUAGGGAAUCUUCCGCAAUGGGCGAAAGCCUGACGGAGCAACGCCGCGUGAGUGAUGAAGGUCUUCGGAUCGUAAAACUCUGUUAUUAGGGAAGAACAAAUGUGUAAGUAACUGUGCACAUCUUGACGGUACCUAAUCAGAAAGCCACGGCUAACUACGUG
Molecule: ribosomal RNA, 497 nt
Filed under: uncultured bacterium
Lineage: Bacteria
Description: partial 16S ribosomal RNA
Rfam family: Bacterial small subunit ribosomal RNA
Source: RNAcentral